Molecule: transfer RNA, 73 nt
Filed under: Acanthamoeba griffini
Lineage: Eukaryota; Discosea; Longamoebia; Acanthamoebidae
Description: tRNA-Pro
Rfam family: tRNA
About the family: Transfer RNA (tRNA) molecules are approximately 80 nucleotides in length. Their secondary structure includes four short double-helical elements and three loops (D, anti-codon, and T loops).
Source: RNAcentral
AUAAGUGUAGCAUAAUAGGUAAUGUGUCUGUUUUGGGAACAGAAGAUUACAGGUUCGAAUCCUGUCACUCUGA